RNAcentral lists this long non-coding RNA (2980 nucleotides) under Triticum aestivum (bread wheat). RNAcentral's name for it is "long non-coding RNA (TAES_LNC015304)". The record is from RNAcentral. Lineage: Eukaryota; Viridiplantae; Streptophyta; Magnoliopsida; Poales; Poaceae.
AACGACUGGUUAAGGAUGUAAGUGACAAAUAAAUGACGUCCGAAAUCCCGUUUUUAGUUGGUUUUUGCUAGCUUGAUAGUUCAUUUUCCUCAAACAAACAAAAAACCAUUUUGAAUUAUCAUAUCAAAAGUGAACUUUAAACGGGAUUAAACGGGACCCGGUUUACAUCCCUACAACUGGUCCGUACUCGCCCAGCGCUUUGAAUCUGCGAUGCACAUCUCUUUCCCCGCACACAGACCCUACAAGGUGCGUAUUCAUUCGAUCCACACACUACGAUACUAUACGGGAGUAGUAGAGUUUAGAUGUAAGGUUCCAUUCCACCCGAGCAGCCAUGUCUUAGCCUACUCCAAAUUCAUUUGCAUCCGCGGCCAUGGCUGGCAAAUCUUGCAUACAGUGGAUCCUUGCUAGCUAAGAUGGCUGGUAGGCUUGCAGCACAAAGCACACUCUCUUGUCAAUCAAAUCCAGCUGUCCUCUGACUAGUGCAAACCGGUGCAUGCAUAGUACAGAGCUCCUUCUUUUGUGCGGGCCCCACAUUGCAUUCCUAGCCAAGCGAGUAAUUGACAAAAAACUACCACAUUUUACGUAUCCGUCCCACAGAACCACCACAUUUUAAAAACUGACCAAAAACUCCAGAUUAGUGCUAAUUUCGUGACAAAAAACUACCAGGUCAAAUUGAUGACCGUUUUUUAUGAUUUUAAACCUGUUUAUGACAUGUGGGACCGACAGCAAAAUCAACUCUGUUUAUUUUGACCGUCAAGUUAACCGUUAUGAUAGGUGGGACCCACACGUCAUCAUCAACCUUUUUCUUCCUCCCCUCCUUUUUCUCUUUGGCAUUUCAACAAACACCUCUUGUGCAUGAGACGGAAACUGGGGAGCUCCGGCCGCCUGCUCGCUUUACACCACAUCGGACCCCAACACGAGCGCCAGGUGAACUAGCUCCGGUCGGCUCUGCCUCGCAGCGCCGUCCUCGCCGUCGUCGACCCGCCGGACGGCGACGCCACCUCGGCCGCCGCCGUGGCCCGACUCGCCGCGGCCAACCCUUCCAUCGCCUUCUGCCUCCUCCCGGUCCGUCCCAGCCCGGACCCCGCCGCGCACCCGGUCAGGCGCGCCCACGACACGCUCCGCCUCGCCAACCCCGCGCUCCGGGCCUUCCUGCGCGCGCUGCCGGCCCCCGCCGACGCACUCCUUCUCGGCGGCGCAGCUGAAGUAGAUCGCUCGCGGGCUAGAGAGCUCCGGGCACCGGUUCCUGUGGGCGGUGAGGAGCCCGCCGGAGGAACAGAGGGAGUUCCCCGAGCCGGACCUCGAGCGGCUGCUCUCGGCCGGCUUCCUGGAGAAGACGAGAGGCAUUCCCCGAGCCGGACCUCGAGCAGCUGCUCCCGGCUGGCUUCCUGGAGAAGACGAGAGGCAUUCCCCGAGCCGGACCUCGAGCGGCUGCUCCUGGCUAGCUUCCUAGAGAAGACGAGAGGCAGGGGCAUGGUGGAGGAAGAAGGUGAUGCUGACGUGUGGGGUCCACCUGUCAUAACGGUCAACUUAACGGUAAAAAUAAUGGAGUUGACUUUCCCGCCACGUCAGCCCCGACAGGUGGGCCAGCUCUGUCAGAAAGGGGUUUAAAACGGUUAAAUCGGUCUUUAACUCGACCUGGUAGUUUUUUGUCACAAAAUUAGCACUAAUCUGAAGUUUUUGGUCAGUUUUCAAAUUGUGGUAGUUUUGUGGGACGGAUGCGUGAAAUGUGGUAGUUUUUUGUCAAUUACUCUAGCCAAGCACACCACACUAGACACUGCCAUGCGUCAAGGCAUGUGUUUCUGUCCAAUCCGAAUGCGAACGAGUUGCCAGCGGGAGUACGGUGUACUGUUGGCGUAUGUAUCUUCUGUGUUGGCUCCGGUGGUCUCUAGCUUGACGACUACUAAUUAUGUACGUGUGUGCAGAGAGCGAGGCCAGCGUUGGGAGAGUGGAACAACAACGGCGAUGGCGACGCCGGUGGCUGGACGGCGGCCGUCGUCAACCAGUGCUUCGAGCCUGUCACGGCACACAAAUCACUCAAGCAGGAAUUCAUUGGUUACGACAGUGGCGUCAUCGCCAUGGGGAAGGACUCAACACAAGGUGCCGAGGCAAACCUGGGUGGAUGACUCAGGGCCCCAUGACGCAAUGGAACUCUUCUCUUUUGCAGCGGUCAAGGCUGUUGACGACGACCUGUACGAGGUCCCACCGGACAUGCUAUGCGGCAAGCCACUACGGGUAUGUAAAUAAUUGUCUGCCUAGUAUGAUGGUUGCAUUGCAUGUUUCGGGAAGUUUUCAACUCAAGAAAGAAAUUGAUUUGUUUAAAAAGAAUUGAUUGAUUGUCAUAUAUGCACUUCAGGAUUGUAACUUUCACAACACAAGAACACCAAUCCUACACAGACUUUUUUUUGCUGAAAAGGAUUAAAAAACUACGCCCCGUAACUGAAGUGAUGGGCGUAUGGCUUCAGUUUUGCAACAAAUUAACUGAAAAUACUCCUUCACUCGUCGGUUUGUCUGACAGUAAAUAGUACUCCCUCCGAUCCAAAAUAAAUUAAACCACAAGACUUAUUUUGGAUCGGUGGGAAUAGUAUGGAUUACAUUUUCAGUUAACUACUAGAAAUUUGCUCCACAACUUUAUGAGUUUUCUAAUACCGCUAAUGUUUAUAGUUUUUUUAUCAAUGCUUAAUUAUCUUGUUUCAUUGCAGAAGGGUAGGACGUGGCUGAGGAGCGUGCUGAUGAGGUGUUGCGGCCUCAACUGCUUCACCUACUGAAUGUGGCUGAUGGCUCACAUUGGUACAGGUUUUGAUGGAACGAGAGAUGAACUACACGAUGUGGUUCCCUGUCCUAGAGAUGGUAGUAGUGACUUGAUGACUUAUAUAUUGGUUAUGUAUUUUCAUUCAUUUAUGUUAUGUACUAUGAGCAACACUACCAAGCUGACCAAUUUGAUUUAUGAAGUUAAUCUACAAAUGCAUGUCGUAUUUGC